Molecule: ribosomal RNA, 329 nt
Filed under: Kingella kingae
Lineage: Bacteria; Pseudomonadati; Pseudomonadota; Betaproteobacteria; Neisseriales; Neisseriaceae
Description: partial 23S ribosomal RNA
Rfam family: Bacterial large subunit ribosomal RNA
Source: RNAcentral
GACAGCUAUUUAGGUAGUGCCUCGAGUAUGAGACUGAUGGGGGUAAAGCACUGUUAUGGCUAGGGGGUUAUUGCAACUUACCAACCCAUGGCAAACUAAGAAUACCAUCAAGUUGCUCCUCGGGAGACAGACAUCGGGUGCUAACGUCCGGUGUCAAGAGGGAAACAACCCAGACCGCCAGCUAAGGUCCCAAAUGAUAGAUUAAGUGGUAAACGAAGUGGGAAGGCACAGACAGCCAGGAUGUUGGCUUAGAAGCAGCCAUCAUUUAAAGAAAGCGUAAUAGCUCACUGGUCGAGUCUUCCUGCGCGGAAGAUGUAACGGGGCUCAAA